RNAcentral lists this ribosomal RNA (520 nucleotides) under uncultured Glomus. RNAcentral describes it as "SSU rRNA". It matches the Rfam family "Eukaryotic small subunit ribosomal RNA", at positions 569 to 1093 of the family's 1831-position model. Lineage: Eukaryota; Fungi; Glomeromycota; Glomeromycetes; Glomerales; Glomeraceae. The record is from RNAcentral.
AGCAGCCGCGGUAAUUCCAGCUCCAAUAGCGUAUAUUAAAGUUGUUGCAGUUAAAAAGCUCGUAGUUGAAUUUCGAGAUCGGUUUAUUGGUCGUGCUAUUGUACGUACUGGUAUUACCGGUUUCUCCUUUCUGACGAACCUUAAUGCCAUUAAUUUGGUGUUUUGGGAAAUCAGGACUGUUACUUUGAAAAAAUUAGAGUGUUUAAAGCAGGCUCACGCUUGAAUACAUUAGCAUGGAAUAACGGAAUAGGACGUUUGAUUCUAUUUUGUUGGUUUCUAGGAUCGACGUAAUGAUUAAUAGGGAUAGUUGGGGGCAUUAGUAUUCAAUUGUCAGAGGUGAAAUUCUUGGAUUUAUUGAAGACUAACUACUGCGAAAGCAUUUGCCAAGGAUGUUUUCAUUAAUCAAGAACGAAAGUUAGGGGAUCGAAGACGAUCAGAUACCGUCGUAGUCUUAACCAUAAACUAUGCCGACUAGGGAUCGGAUGAUGUAAUUUUUAAUGACUCAUUCGGCGCCUUACGG